Molecule: ribosomal RNA, 336 nt
Filed under: uncultured soil bacterium
Lineage: Bacteria
Description: bacterial SSU rRNA
Rfam family: Bacterial small subunit ribosomal RNA
Source: RNAcentral
CAGAUUGAACGCUGGCGGCAUGCCUAACACAUGCAAGUCGAACGGGAGUAGCAAUACUCUAGUGGCGGACGGGUGAGGAAUACGUAGGAAUUUGCCCUUAAGUGGGGGAUAACCCGGGGAAACCCGGAUUAAUACCGCAUGACCUCGAAAGAGCAAAGUGGGGGAUCGCAAGACCUCACGCUUUUGGAGAAGCCUACGGUCGGAUUAGCUAGUUGGUGAGGUAAUGGCUCACCAAGGCGACGAUCCGUAACUGGUCUGACGAGGAUGACCAGUCACACCGGAUGAGACACGGUCCGACUCUACGGGAGCAGCAGUGGGGAAUAUUGGACAAGUGGG